CCAAUAGCGUAUAUUAAAGUUGUUGCAGUUAAAAAGCUCGUAGUUGAAUUUCGGGAUCAAUUUAUUGGUCGUGCCAACGGUACGCACUGGUACAAUUGGUUUCUCCCUUCUGACGAAGCAUGAUGUCAUUAACUUGAUGUCGUGGGGAAUCAGGACUGUUACUUUGAAAAAAUUAGAGUGUUUAAAGCAGGCUUUGGCUUGAAUACAUUAGCAUGGAAUAAUGAAAUAGGACGUUUGAUCUUAUUUCGUUGGUUUCUAGGAUCGACGUAAUGAUUAAUAGGGAUAGUUGGGGGCAUUAGUAUUCAAUUGUCAGAGGUGAAAUUCUUGGAUUUAUUGAAGACUAACUACUGCGAAAGCAUUUGCCAAGGAUGUUUUCAUUAAUCAAGAACGAAAGUUAGGGGAUCGAAGACGAUCAGAUACCGUCGUAGUCUUAACCAUAAACUAUGCCGACUAGGGAUCGGAUGAUGUUAAUUUUUUAAUGACUCAUUCGGCGCCUUACG
This 500-nucleotide ribosomal RNA is filed under the name uncultured Glomeromycotina. RNAcentral's name for it is "partial small subunit ribosomal RNA". It matches the Rfam family "Eukaryotic small subunit ribosomal RNA", at positions 591 to 1092 of the family's 1831-position model. Lineage: Eukaryota; Fungi; Glomeromycota. The record is from RNAcentral.